UUUUCUGGCCGGGCCCAGUGGCUCACACUUGUAAUCCCAGCACUUUGGGAGGCCAAGGAGGUCAGAUCACUUGAGAUCAGGAGUUCAAGACCAGCCUGGCCAACAUGGACAACCUUAAAGUUCCACCACAAGAGGAAUAUAAAGAGGUCCCUCCUGCACCAAGAAAGAUCUGCAGAUCUUUUUCAGUGUUCUUGGAGGUGUGGGGUGUGAGAACUUGAUCAGUUUGUGUCAGCCACCUUGUUCUCUAAAGGGAAAGUCCCUCAAACCAUUUUGUAUUCUGUAUUACACUUCAGAAAGUGUGGAAGCAAAGGUCAUCUAAUCUUUAAAAGAGAUGGGACAACAAAGAAAUUCUAGCCUUUGGAGGCAUCUAGACCAGCACUAUAUGGUACAAAGAUAAUUCGAGCCAUAGAUAGAAGCUACUUACAAAUUAUAAUACUGUGGUAGAAACAAAUUCAGAUUCAGAUGAUGAAGACAAACUCCAUAUUGUGGAAGAAGAAAGUGUCACAGAUGCAGCUGAUUGUGAAGGUGUACCAGAGGAUGACCUGCCAACAGACCAGACAGUGU
Molecule: small RNA, 564 nt
Filed under: Pongo abelii (Sumatran orangutan)
Lineage: Eukaryota; Metazoa; Chordata; Mammalia; Primates; Hominidae
Description: retained intron
Source: RNAcentral